GACGAACGCUGGCGGCGCGCUUAACACAUGCAAGUCGAACGGAAAGGCCUGCUUUCCCUUGUGGAUUGCGGGUACUCGAGUGGCGAACGGGUGAGUAACACGUGAGUGAUCUGCCCCCAACUUGGGUAUAAGCCUGGGAAACUGGGUCUAAUUCCCGAUAGGACUGCAGGGUGGUGCCUGUGGUGGAACACGGUUUUCUAGUGGUUGGGGAUGAGCUAGCGGCCUAUCAGCUUGUUGGUGGGGUAAUGGCCUACCAAGGCGGCGACGGGUAGCCGGCCUGAGAGGGUGGACGGCCACAUUGGGACUGAGAUACGGCCCAGACUCCUACGGGAGGCAGCAGUGGGGAAUAUUGCACAAUGGGCGGAAGCCUGAUGCAGCGACGCCGCGUGGGGGAUGACGGCCUUCGGGUUGUAAACUCCUUUCGACCGCGAGGAAGCCACCUGGUUGGAAGGGUGGUGACGGUAGUGGUAGAAGAAGCACCGGCUAACUACGUG
Molecule: ribosomal RNA, 494 nt
Filed under: uncultured bacterium
Lineage: Bacteria
Description: partial 16S ribosomal RNA
Rfam family: Bacterial small subunit ribosomal RNA
Source: RNAcentral